UGGGGAAUUUUGGACAAUGGGCGCAAGCCUGAUCCAGCAAUGCCGCGUGCAGGAUGAAGGCCUUCGGGUUGUAAACUGCUUUUGUACGGAACGAAAAGCCUCUCUCUAAUACAGGGGGGUGAUGACGGUACCGUAAGAAUAAGCACCGGCUAACUACGUGCCAGCAGCCGCGGUAAUACGUAGGGUGCAAGCGUUAAUCGGAAUUACUGGGCGUAAAGCGUGCGCAGGCGGUUUUGUAAGACAGUGGUGAAAUCCCCGGGCUCAACCUGGGAACUGCCAUUGUGACUGCAAGGCUGGAGUGCGGCAGAGGGGGAUGGAAUUCCGCGUGUAGCAGUGAAAUGCGUAGAUAUGCGGAGGAACACCGAUGGCGAAGGCAAUCCCCUGGGCCUGCACUGACGCUCAUGCACGAAAGCGUGGGGAGC
This 422-nucleotide ribosomal RNA is filed under the name uncultured bacterium. RNAcentral describes it as "partial 16S ribosomal RNA". It matches the Rfam family "Bacterial small subunit ribosomal RNA", at positions 355 to 769 of the family's 1533-position model. The record is from RNAcentral.